RNAcentral lists this ribosomal RNA (497 nucleotides) under uncultured bacterium. Its description in RNAcentral is "partial 16S ribosomal RNA". It matches the Rfam family "Bacterial small subunit ribosomal RNA", at positions 28 to 507 of the family's 1533-position model. The record is from RNAcentral.
GAUGAACGCUGGCGGCGUGCCUAAUACAUGCAAGUCGAGCGAACGGACGAGAAGCUUGCUUCUCUGACGUUAGCGGCGGACGGGUGAGUAACACGUGGAUAACCUACCUAUAAGACUGGGAUAACUUCGGGAAACCGGAGCUAAUACCGGAUGAUAUUUUGAACCGCAUGGUUCAAUAGUGAAAGACGGUCUUGCUGUCACUUAUAGAUGGAUCCGCGCUGCAUUAGCUAGUUGGUAAGGUAACGGCUUACCAAGGCAACGAUGCGUAGCCGACCUGAGAGGGGGAUCGGCCACACUGGAACUGAGACACGGUCCAGACUCCUACGGGAGGCAGCAGUAGGGAAUCUUCCGCAAAGGGCGAAAGCCUGACGGAGCAACGCCGCGUGAGUGAUGAAGGUCUUCGGAUCGUAAAACUCUGUUAUUAGGGAAGAACAUAUGUGUAAGUAACUGUGCACAUCUUGACGGUACCUAAUCAGAAAGCCACGGCUAACUACGUG